This 1168-nucleotide long non-coding RNA is filed under the name Sus scrofa (pig). RNAcentral describes it as "lncRNA (ENSSSCG00045010490.1)". Lineage: Eukaryota; Metazoa; Chordata; Mammalia; Artiodactyla; Suidae. The record is from RNAcentral.
GAGGGUAGUGAUUAUGAGGUUGGACCCCGGAGUUAGACAGUCUGGGUGCAAAUGCUGUAUGACCUUGGACAAAGCAUGGCACCCGAGUUUUCUCACCAACAAAAUGAGGGGAAAAAAGGAAAAUGAAGUCCUAUUAAUAUGUUUAUGAUAGGAAGAAUAAUUAGAAAAGUAGAAUAAAAAAACUGAAGCAUGGUGAAAUCACAGUGUGUGAAUAUAUGCAAAGGAUACUCAAAGGUCAAGAAAAGUUCAAGAAUUGUCUCUGCAUGAUAGGGAAAUGCAACUUGCUCUGCCCGACGCCUAGAGUCUCUGGCUGCAGGUCUGGUCCUGGCCCCCUAGGAGGACUUCCCGAGGUCUUAGAUGGAGAGUGGCAGGGACAACCAUGCUUAGGUUGAGGCCUAUGAAAGGAGUGUUUUCAGCAGCAGAGCCACCAAACUAACAAGUCACUGAAUUUUAAAACUCUGGCCACGUGGCUUAGAGGACUCUGGGCAUUGCCCCUUUGCUACCAGCUCCAAAGAUCUGGGAAGAUCUCAUUUGGAUUAGUGACCACGGUUUGUGGGAAUCUUCGCAACCCAAAAAAGGCUGUUUAAAACAGGGGAAACACUGAGCUCUGGAAAUGGUUUAUUUGGCCAUCAGAAUUUUUUUUUUUUUUAAUGACCACCAUUUAAAAAUUCUUUUCAUAAAGUCCCAAAUUUUGGGGUUCCCUGGUGGUCUAGGGGUUAGGAUUUUGCACUUUUCAUUGCUGUGACCCAGGUUCAGUCCCUGGUCUGGAAACUUCCACAAGACAUGGGCAUGGCCACAAUUUUAAAAAAUAAAGUAGGGAGUUCCCAUUGUAGCUCAGUGGGAUAAGAAGUGACUAGUAUUCAUGAGGAUGUGGGUUGGGUCCCUGGCCUCGCUCAGUGGGUUGCUGUGAGCUGUGGUGUAGGUCACAGACAAGACUCGGAUCUUGCAUUGCUAUGGCCGUGGUGUAGGCUGCCAGCUGCAGCUCCAAUUUGACCCCUAGCCGAGGAACUUCCAUUUGCCCAGGUGUGGCCCUUAAAAAAAAUAAUAAUAAUAAAUUAAAUUAAAUUAAAAUCCCAAGUUUUUUUCAUUUUCCCGAAAAAUUUAGACUAUGACAACCCCAAAACCCUCAUUCUGACAAAACAAUACUGGACCGGGUCCCCAGGAGCGU